GAUGAACGCUGGCGGCGUGCCUAAUACAUGCAAGUCGAGCGAACGGACGAGAAGCUUGCUUUUCUGAUGUUAGCGGCGGACGGGUGAGUAACACGUGGAUAUCCUACCUAUAAGACUGGGAUAACUUCGGGAAACCGGAGCUAAUACCGGAUAAUAUUUUGAACCGCAUGGUUCAAAAGUGAAAGACGGUCUUGCUGUCACUUAUAGAUGGAUCCGCGCUGCAUUGGCUAGUUGGUAAGGUAACGGCUUACCAAGGCAACGAUGCAUAGCCGACCUGAGAGGGUGAUCGGCCACACUGGAACUGAGACACGGUCCAGACUCCUACGGGAGGCAGCAGUAGGGAAUCUUCCGCAAUGGGCGAAAGCCUGACGGAGCAACGCCGCGUGAGUGAUGAAGGUCUUCGGAUCGUAAAACUCUGUUAUUAGGGAAGAACAUAUGUGUAAGUAACUGUGCACAUCUUGACGGUACCUAAUCAGAAAGCCACGGCUAACUACGUG
This 497-nucleotide ribosomal RNA is filed under the name uncultured bacterium. Its description in RNAcentral is "partial 16S ribosomal RNA". It matches the Rfam family "Bacterial small subunit ribosomal RNA", at positions 28 to 507 of the family's 1533-position model. The record is from RNAcentral.